CAAUAAUACAUCAAAAUGUAUUUUAAAAUAAAAUAUCACAUACCCUCAUUUUCAGUGUAUAAAAUUAACUACAAAACACAUUAGAUUCACCAUGUCAAAUAA
Molecule: long non-coding RNA, 102 nt
Organism: Alosa sapidissima (American shad)
Lineage: Eukaryota; Metazoa; Chordata; Actinopteri; Clupeiformes; Clupeidae
Exons: 3
Source: RefSeq, a predicted model, not a curated record